This 1341-nucleotide ribosomal RNA is filed under the name metagenome. Its description in RNAcentral is "bacterial LSU rRNA". It matches the Rfam family "Bacterial large subunit ribosomal RNA", at positions 1592 to 2912 of the family's 2925-position model. The record is from RNAcentral.
GGUUGAUGCCAUGCUUCCAAGAAAAGCUUCUAAGCUUCAGGUAACCAGGAACCGUACCCCAAACCGACACAGGUGGUCGGGUAGAGAAUACCAAGGCGCUUGAGAGAACUCGGGUGAAGGAACUGGGCAAAAUGGCACCGUAACUUCGGGAGAAGGUGCGCCGGCUAGGGUGAAGGAUUUACUCCGUAAGCUCUGGCUGGUCGAAGAUACCAGGCCGCUGCGACUGUUUAUUAAAAACACAGCACUCUGCAAACACGAAAGUGGACGUAUAGGGUGUGACGCCUGCCCGGUGCCGGAAGGUUAAUUGAUGGGGUUAGCGCAAGCGAAGCUCUUGAUCGAAGCCCCGGUAAACGGCGGCCGUAACAAUAACGGUCCUAAGGUAGCGAAAUUCCUUGUCGGGUAAGUUCCGACCUGCACGAAUGGCGUAACGAUGGCGGCGCUGUCUCCACCCGAGACUCAGUGAAAUUGAAAUCGCUGUGAAGAUGCAGUGUAUCCGCGGCUAGACGGAAAGACCCCGUGAACCUUUACUGUAGCUUUGCACUGGACUUUGAGCCUGCUUGUGUAGGAUAGGUGGGAGGCUUUGAAGCGUGGACGCCAGUUCGCGUGGAGCCAUCCUUGAAAUACCACCCUGGCAUGCUUGAGGUUCUAACUCUGGUCCGUAAUCCGGAUCGAGGACAGUGUAUGGUGGGCAGUUUGACUGGGGCGGUCUCCUCCUAAAGAGUAACGGAGGAGUACGAAGGUGCGCUCAGACCGGUCGGAAAUCGGUCGCAGAGUAUAAAGGCAAAAGCGCGCUUGACUGCGAGACAGACACGUCGAGCAGGUACGAAAGUAGGUCUUAGUGAUCCGGUGGUUCUGUAUGGAAGGGCCAUCGCUCAACGGAUAAAAGGUACUCCGGGGAUAACAGGCUGAUACCGCCCAAGAGUUCAUAUCGACGGCGGUGUUUGGCACCUCGAUGUCGGCUCAUCACAUCCUGGGGCUGAAGCCGGUCCCAAGGGUAUGGCUGUUCGCCAUUUAAAGUGGUACGCGAGCUGGGUUUAGAACGUCGUGAGACAGUUCGGUCCCUAUCUGCCGUGGACGUUUGAGAUUUGAGAGGGGCUGCUCCUAGUACGAGAGGACCGGAGUGGACGAACCUCUGGUGUUCCGGUUGUCACGCCAGUGGCAUUGCCGGGUAGCUAUGUUCGGAAAAGAUAACCGCUGAAAGCAUCUAAGCGGGAAACUUGCCUCAAGAUGAGAUCUCACUGGGAACUUGAUUCCCCUGAAGGGCCGUCGAAGACUACGACGUUGAUAGGCUGGGUGUGUAAGCGUUGUGAGGCGUUGAGCUAACCAGUACUAAUUGCCCGU